This 264-nucleotide ribosomal RNA is filed under the name uncultured archaeon. RNAcentral's name for it is "partial 16S ribosomal RNA". It matches the Rfam family "Archaeal small subunit ribosomal RNA", at positions 714 to 982 of the family's 1478-position model. The record is from RNAcentral.
AGACGUCUACAUUAGAUACCCCUGUAGUCCCAGCCGUAAACUAUGCGCGUUAGGUGUAUCGGUGACCACGAGUUACCGAGGUGCCGAAGGGAAACCGUGAAACGUGCCGCCUGGGAAGUACGGUCGCAAGGCUGAAACUUAAAGGAAUUGGCGGGGAGCACCACAACGGGUGGAGCCUGCGGUUUAAUUGGACUCAACGCCGGGAAGCUCACCGGAUAAGACAGCGGAAUGAUUGCCGGGCUGAAGACUCUGCAUGACUAGCUG